This 73-nucleotide transfer RNA is filed under the name Globomyces pollinis-pini. RNAcentral describes it as "tRNA-Arg". It matches the Rfam family "tRNA". Rfam says of the family: Transfer RNA (tRNA) molecules are approximately 80 nucleotides in length. Their secondary structure includes four short double-helical elements and three loops (D, anti-codon, and T loops). RNAcentral also lists the same sequence under 1 other name. Lineage: Eukaryota; Fungi; Chytridiomycota; Chytridiomycetes; Rhizophydiales; Globomycetaceae. The record is from RNAcentral.
GGUCGUGUGGCGCAAUGGUUAGCGCGUCAGACUUCGAAUCUGGAGGCUGUGGGUUCGAAUCCCAUCUCGAUCU